RNAcentral lists this long non-coding RNA (1155 nucleotides) under Salmo salar (Atlantic salmon). Its description in RNAcentral is "lncRNA (ENSSSAG00000115811.1)". The record is from RNAcentral. Lineage: Eukaryota; Metazoa; Chordata; Actinopteri; Salmoniformes; Salmonidae.
CAAAGCAUAAAUUGGAGAAAACCCUCCCACAUAAUUCCCCCACCUCAAACUUGUAUCUCAAAUAGACCGUUUCAAAAUGCUUGCCAUUUCCUCACAUUAAUAUUCUUAAUGACCAGUAUAUGCCAACACCAUUCCAACACAGAAAAGCUGCUUUUUAACAUACUUAAUGUGAAAAAAUUGGAAGGAUACUAUUUCACUCAUAUUGUAAUGAAUUAUAGGUCAUAUUUCAUAGAAAUCUGGAAACACAGUACAGUUACUUUAAAGAUAAGCUUGAUUAUGAAUAGAUUCACAAACGUUGUUGUCUAUAUCAAUUCAUAUUUAUAAGUGUGUGAUUGCUUUGUGGUUCCAGGGAAUCAAAUUACUGGACACAUUAUUUUGUAAUCUCUACAGAAUAUGCUGUCAUGAAGUGGUGUGACUGACCAUUCACCAAGUACCUGUAUGGUAUGUGUGGUUUCUUUAAGUAAACUUUUCAGAUAUUAUGGUUUCUCUUCUUGUUGCCUUUACAUUCAAUGUCUUUCAUAAACCACGUUUACAUCCAACCAUUUCAUGCGGAUGAAUAACCUGACACAGGAAACAAUUCACCACUGAGCUGAUGGAAACUUGAAAUGCAGAAAAUUUGUUCGUUUGACAAGGUGGGAUCAUUUUAUCGGAAAUGCCUUUAUGAACAAAUAUUGAUAUUAUUGAGUACCACAGUAUGAGUCAUAAUACCAAUAAAACUUAGCGGUAAAACCCGUUAAUGGUUCCAAACGUUUUUUCCCCCAUUCACUUUACCGUCAGGGAUUUUAGAACUACUUCAUAUAAGGUUUGACUUUCGUGUAGGUUUACCCCAGCUUGAUGUUUUGAUAACCGCGCAAAUCUCUCUCGGACAAGGUACAGGUAGGGAUGACUGGGGCCUUCAGGAGGUAAGACACAUGGGUGCACUCAGGAUCCCAGACCCUGUGACUUAAAGCCCUGACCACUGCACAUCCUUCCCUGUAGCCAUUUUUAAUGCCUUGAUGUCCUUAUUGUUAUCUGUGCCCCACUUUACAGACAACACUCCAUCCAAUGACUGUAAACACCUUGAAAUGCAUUCGUUCUAAGAAAUGUGCUAUAUAAAUAAAGUUUUAUUUGAUUGAUGACAUUACAGCUAUAGAAUAUUUAAUAAACUGUCAUUUU